GAUGAACGCUGGCGGCGUGCCUAAUACAUGCAAGUCGAGCGAACAGACGAGGAGCUUGCUCCUCUGACGUUAGCGGCGGACGGGUGAGUAACACGUGGAUAACCUACCUAUAAGACUGGGAUAACUUCGGGAAACCGGAGCUAAUACCGGAUAAUAUAUUGAACCGCAUGGUUCAAUAGUGAAAGACGGUUUUGCUGUCACUUAUAGAUGGAUCCGCGCCGCAUUAGCUAGUUGGUAAGGUAACGGCUUACCAAGGCAACGAUGCGUAGCCGACCUGAGAGGGUGGUCGGCCACACUGGAACUGAGACACGGUCCAGACUCCUACGGGAGGCAGCAGUAGGGAAUCUUCCGCGAUGGGCGAAAGCCUGACGGAGCAACGCCGCGUGAGUGAUGAAGGUCUUCGGAUCGUAAAACUCUGUUAUUAGGGAAGAACAAAUGUGUAAGUAACUAUGCACGUCUUGACGGUACCUAAUCAGAAAGCCACGGCUAACUACGUG
This 497-nucleotide ribosomal RNA is filed under the name uncultured bacterium. Its description in RNAcentral is "partial 16S ribosomal RNA". It matches the Rfam family "Bacterial small subunit ribosomal RNA", at positions 28 to 507 of the family's 1533-position model. The record is from RNAcentral.